RNAcentral lists this transfer RNA (72 nucleotides) under Candidatus Taylorbacteria bacterium RIFCSPLOWO2_01_FULL_45_15b. RNAcentral describes it as "tRNA-Gly". It matches the Rfam family "tRNA". Rfam says of the family: Transfer RNA (tRNA) molecules are approximately 80 nucleotides in length. The record is from RNAcentral. Lineage: Bacteria; Candidatus Tayloriibacteriota.
GCGGGUGUAGUAUAACGGCUAUUAUGGGAUCCUUCCAAGAUUCAGACGCGGGUUCGACUCCCGCCACCCGCA